AGGCACCAGAACAUCACAUUUAACAACAUUUUGAAGAUUGUUCCUCAAAUAAGGUGCAAGAAACUAAAGCUGAUUUACCUAACUCUGUAGAGACCAAAGGAAUUUACAGAGUUAGUCAUCCCUGAAACCGGGUGUGGUAACUAGUAUGACUGAAGUUUAGUAAUGAUGUUAGGAACAGUGGAACUUUUUGUAAAAGGGCUUCAUAAAUGAAAACAUAGCAAUGUAUCAACCUACGUGACAUCAAAGAGGGCCAACCAACUUUCUGGUAGAGAAUGCGUGAUAUACCAUCCAAGCUUUCACAGACUCCAAAACAAUCUUUACACAAUAUUCUCAGUUUAGGGAAGCCUGAUGAAGACAUUACAGGGGAGAAUAAAAUGGGGAGGUGAGUACGGACAAGAUGAACUCUAUCAAAGACAGUGAGAAGAUGGGCAUCUUCAAGCAGACAGAAGGUUGCUCAAGAAGUUCUGGACAACUGCUGGAGCCUGGGAGAUAUCUGGUGAUGUUGACGAUAGCUGCAGCCUACUUCCUACACUCUCUGAUCCAGCAGUAGUUUAUACUGUAGAUCUAGGUUUGCAUCCCAAAUGGCACCCUAUUCCCCAUAUAGUGCACUACUUCUGACCAGAGACUUUUAAAACAUUUUAUUUUUUAUUUCACCUUUAUUUAACCAGGUUUGCCAGUUGAGAACAAGUUCUCAUUUACAACUGCGACCUGGCCAAGUUAAAGCAAAGCAGUGCGACACAAACAACACGGAUUUACACAUGGAAUAAACAAAUGUACAGUCAAUAACACAAUAGAAAAAAUCUAUAUACAGUGUGUGCAAAUGAGGUAAGAUUAGGGAGGUAAGGCAAUAAAUAGGCCGUAGUGGCGAAGUCAUUACAAUUUAGCAAUUAAACACUGGAGUGAUAGAUGUGCAGAAUGAAUGUGCAAGUAGAGAUACUGGGGUGCAAAGGAGCCAAAAAAUAAAUAAAAAAAUAACAAUAUGGGGAUGAGGUAGUUGGAUGGGCUAUUUACAGAUGGCCUAUGUACAGGUGCAAUGAUCUGUGAGCUGCUCUGACAGCUGAUGCUUAAAGUUAGUGAGGAAGAUAUGAGUCUCCAGCUUCAGUGAUUUUUGCAACUCAUUCCAGUCAUUGGCAGCAGAGAACUGGAAGGAAAGGCGGCCAAAGAAGGAAUUGACAUUGGGGGUGACCAGUGAAAUAUACCUGCUGGAGCGCGUGCUAUGGGUGGGUGCUGCUAUGGUGACCAGUGAGUUGAGAUAAGGCGGGGUUUUACCUAGCAAAGACUUGGGCUUUGGUCAAAAGUAGUGCACUGUAUAGGGAAUAGGGUGCCAUUUGGGCAUUGCCCUAACCCUCACUCUGAAUCAACACUGGAACUGUCAAAUAUUCCUAUUUUCUAAACUGCAAUGAAGUCUAUAUUUUGAUGAUCGUUUUGUCAUUGAUCUGAAUGGUGUG
RNAcentral lists this long non-coding RNA (1448 nucleotides) under Salmo salar (Atlantic salmon). Its description in RNAcentral is "lncRNA (ENSSSAG00000094099.1)". Lineage: Eukaryota; Metazoa; Chordata; Actinopteri; Salmoniformes; Salmonidae. The record is from RNAcentral.